Molecule: ribosomal RNA, 428 nt
Filed under: Actinomycetes bacterium
Lineage: Bacteria; Bacillati; Actinomycetota; Actinomycetes
Description: Actinobacteria bacterium partial 16S ribosomal RNA
Rfam family: Bacterial small subunit ribosomal RNA
Source: RNAcentral
UAGGGAAUCUUCCGCAAUGGGCGAAAGCCUGACGGAGCAACGCCGCGUGAGUGAUGAAGGUCUUCGGAUCGUAAAACUCUGUUAUUAGGGAAGAACAAAUGUGUAAGUAACUAUGCACGUCUUGACGGUACCUAAUCAGAAAGCCACGGCUAACUACGUGCCAGCAGCCGCGGUAAUACGUAGGUGGCAAGCGUUAUCCGGAAUUAUUGGGCGUAAAGCGCGCGUAGGCGGUUUUUUAAGUCUGAUGUGAAAGCCCACGGCUCAACCGUGGAGGGUCAUUGGAAACGGAAAACUUGAGUGCAGAAGAGGAAAGUGGAAUUCCAUGUGUAGCGGUGAAAUGCGCAGAGAUAUGGAGGAACACCAGUGGCGAAGGCGACUUUCUGGUCUGUAACUGACGCUGAUGUGCGAAAGCGUGGGGAUCAAACAGG